GGCGAACGCUGGCGGCGUGCUUAACACAUGCAAGUCGAACGGAAAGGCCCUGCUUUUGUGGGGUGCUCGAGUGGCGAACGGGUGAGUAACACGUGAGUAACCUGCCCUUGACUUUGGGAUAACUUCAGGAAACUGGGGCUAAUACCGGAUAGGAGCUCCUGCUGCAUGGUGGGGGUUGGAAAGUUUCGGCGGUUGGGGAUGGACUCGCGGCUUACCAGCUUGUUGGUGGGGUAGUGGCUUACCAAGGCUUUGACGGGUAGCCGGCCUGAGAGGGUGACCGGCCACAUUGGGACUGAGAUACGGCCCAGACUCCUACGGGAGGCAGCAGUGGGGAAUAUUGCACAAUGGGCGGAAGCCUGAUGCAGCAACGCCGCGUGCGGGAUGACGGCCUUCGGGUUGUAAACCGCUUUCGCCUGUGACGAAGCGUGAGUGACGGUAAUGGGUAAAGAAGCACCGGCUAACUACGUG
This 468-nucleotide ribosomal RNA is filed under the name uncultured bacterium. RNAcentral describes it as "partial 16S ribosomal RNA". It matches the Rfam family "Bacterial small subunit ribosomal RNA", at positions 28 to 507 of the family's 1533-position model. The record is from RNAcentral.